AGCAGCCGCGGUAAUUCCAGCUCCAAUAGCGUAUAUUAAAGUUGUUGCAGUUAAAAAGCUCGUAGUUGAAUUUCGGGAUCAAUUAAUUGGUCGUGCCUAUGGUACGUACUGAUUUUAUUGGUUUCUCCCUUCUGACGAACCAUGAUGUCAUUAAUUUGGUGUCGUGGAGAAUCAGGACUGUUACUUUGAAAAAAUUAGAGUGUUUAAAGCAGGCUAACGCUUGAAUACAUUAGCAUGGAAUAAUGAAAUAGGACGUUUGAUCCUAUUUUGUUGGUUUCUAGGAUCGACGUAAUGAUUAAUAGGGAUAGUUGGGGGCAUUAGUAUUCAAUUGUCAGAGGUGAAAUUCUUGGAUUUAUUGAAGACUAACUACUGCGAAAGCAUUUGCCAAGGAUGUUUUCAUUAAUCAAGAACGAAAGUUAGGGAUCGAAGACGAUCAGAUACCGUCGUAGUCUUAGCCAUAAACUAUAGCCGACUAGGGAUCGGAUGAUGUUAAUUUUUUAAUUGUACUCAUUCGGCGUCC
RNAcentral lists this unclassified non-coding RNA (520 nucleotides) under uncultured Glomus. RNAcentral describes it as "SSU rRNA". It matches the Rfam family "Eukaryotic small subunit ribosomal RNA", at positions 569 to 1088 of the family's 1831-position model. The record is from RNAcentral. Lineage: Eukaryota; Fungi; Glomeromycota; Glomeromycetes; Glomerales; Glomeraceae.